This 253-nucleotide ribosomal RNA is filed under the name uncultured bacterium. RNAcentral's name for it is "partial 16S ribosomal RNA". It matches the Rfam family "Bacterial small subunit ribosomal RNA", at positions 524 to 776 of the family's 1533-position model. The record is from RNAcentral.
UACGAGGGGGGCGAGCGUUGUUCGGAAUUAUUGGGCGUAAAGGGUGCGUAGGCGGCCUGACAAGUCUGAUGUGAAAUCCCUGGGCUCAACCCAGGGCCUGCAUCGGAAACUGUCGGGCUUGAGUAUGGGAGAGGUGAGUGGAAUUUCCGGUGUAGCGGUGAAAUGCGUAGAUAUCGGAAGGAACACCUGUGGCGAAAGCGGCUCACUGGACCAUUACUGACGCUGAGGCACGAAAGCUAGGGGAGCAAACAGG